Molecule: ribosomal RNA, 292 nt
Filed under: uncultured bacterium
Lineage: Bacteria
Description: partial 16S ribosomal RNA
Rfam family: Bacterial small subunit ribosomal RNA
Source: RNAcentral
GUGUCAGCCGCCGCGGUAAGACGGAGGAGGCAAGCGUUAUCCGGAAUUAUUGGGCGUAAAGCGUCCGCAGGCGGCUAAUUAAGUCUGUUGUCAAAGGUCACAGCUCAACUGUGGAUCGGCAAUGGAAACUGGUUGGCUAGAGUGUGGUAGGGGUAGAGGGAAUUCCCGGUGUAGCGGUGAAAUGCGUAGAUAUCGGGAAGAACACCAGUGGCGAAGGCGCUCUACUGGGCCACAACUGACGCUGAGGGACGAAAGCUAGGGGAGCGAAAGGGAUUAGAUACCCUUGUAGUCC